UACGGGGGGGAGCAAGCGUUGUUCGGAUUUACUGGGCGUAAAGGGCGCGUAGGCGGCGUGACAAGUCACUUGUGAAAUCUCCGGGGCUUAACUCGGAACGGUCAAGUGAUACUGUCGUGCUAGAGUACAGAAGGGGCAACUGGAAUUCUCGGUGUAGCGGUGAAAUGCGUAGAUAUCGAGAGGAACACCUGCGGCGAAGGCGGGUUGCUGGGCUGAUACUGACGCUGAUGAGCGAAAGCUAGGGGAGCAAACGGG
Molecule: ribosomal RNA, 255 nt
Filed under: uncultured bacterium
Lineage: Bacteria
Description: partial 16S ribosomal RNA
Rfam family: Bacterial small subunit ribosomal RNA
Source: RNAcentral